GUCCCUAGGGCCUCUCCUAAUAUGGGAGCUCCCUGUUGGUGGUAGGCUGUGUGAUUGACUGCUUCAAAGUAAAAUGCAUCUGGUAAUGAAGAUUCCACCCAUCCAUCCAUUAUCUAACCCGCUACAUCCCAACUACAGGGUCAUGGAGGUCUUCUGGAGCCAAUCCCAGCCAACACAGGGCACAAGGCAAGAAACAAACCCCGACCAGGGAGUCAGGCCACCACAGCAGAACAACUGAAGAAUCCACCCAGUAACAUCACUUCCAAUUCUCAAGAUCCCAAUUCUUCAUGAUGUCACUUCCGGUUCCCAUCCACAAGAUCCCACCACUUUAUAACAUCUCUUCCUGCAAAGUCUACCAUAUAUACCACUAUUAUUUUCUCUUUUGUCAGUUCUGAUUUGAACUCUGUCUGUAAUGACACCAUUUCCUUUACUUGUGCUACAGUAUAUGGGGAAUCCCCCCAAUCCUUUGACUGUGUUUUUGUCUUUAUUUUGCAAUAUAUAGAUAGUACCUUAUUUGUCUUUUGGGGGAAAUUUAGCAUUUACAGAAUGCUUAAGAAAUAUAGAAUUAUGGUGGGUCGCAAUUGACCAGAAGGACAUGGAAGUGUUCCAGAUCUGUAGCAGCGGUAGACAAAUGUGACAUUUGUAAACUUUUUUAGUUAUCUGUAAAGUUAGGGCACUUUAUUAAAAGUCUAAACAUCUCUCAGCUGAAAAAAUGAUAUUUAGAUGGUUUUUAUGGGUUGUGAACAAACUAUCGUUAAAUUCAGUGUAAAAUUCAAUGGUGACCCGAAGGACAUUGCUAUGCUCAAAAUGUUUAGCAGCUGUACAAGAGUGUAACAUUUGUAAACGUUUUUGAUGUCAGGUACUAAUAGACAGAAGGAUCUUGGUGAAGCUGCUGGCUAUAAUGAACAAUAUCUUGUAUCCUCUGGGUGAUACAAACGAGUCAGUUUGCAGAAUAGAAGGGUGACUUUACCACUGUGUUCCUAGUGCCAUUUUACAAUGUGAUUUUAAAUAGCUUAUGCACAUAUUUUAUUUAGUAGUCUGUCUGACCACCAUUUCAGCAUGUAUGUAU
Long non-coding RNA from Polypterus senegalus (gray bichir), 1069 nucleotides. RefSeq lists it as uncharacterized. The transcript is spliced from 3 exons. NCBI's taxonomy places the organism in Eukaryota, Metazoa, Chordata, Cladistia, Polypteriformes, Polypteridae. The record is from RefSeq and is a predicted model, not a curated record.